Molecule: long non-coding RNA, 1462 nt
Filed under: Nicotiana benthamiana
Lineage: Eukaryota; Viridiplantae; Streptophyta; Magnoliopsida; Solanales; Solanaceae
Description: long non-coding RNA (NBEN_LNC018135)
Source: RNAcentral
CAAAUUUUGGAAAUAUGUCUUCUUCUUCUUCUUCUUCUUCGAGUUUCAAUCAACUGUGUUAACCAGUAGCCUUCAACCACUACCCAAAAAAAAGAGGUCAAAGAAUUUCGAACUCUCUGCCAUUAUUAUUUCCAGUGGGAAUUCAAGCGGUUCGAUCAAAGAAUUUAAUAUUUUCAUGUGAAUAUGAAAAUAUGAUAUUCUUCGAAGGUGGUGGGCAGUUGGGAUAUCAAUGAGAGGAAGCAUAUGAGCAAUCUGAAAAUAUUAUUUCCAUUGAAGAAGGUAAUAAUGCACUCAAAGAAUUGGUUGAUCUUCGCCUCCAUUUUCUUAACUGUUUUCAGAAUUUAAAAUCCACUAAUUACGCAACGUUGAGCGUAAUGGCAGAGCCCAAAAUUGAUAGGUUUUUCCUGUCAAAUUGGCGAAUUAUAAAAAAACUGUUUGAAUAUUAGAUACAGUCCUAUAAUUAUGCCUAAUAUAAAUGAACCCUUAAUUAUAUCCCUAAUUUGAAAUAUGAUAUUACUGUUUGAAUAUUAGAUACAGUCCUAUAAUUAUGCCUAAUAUAAAUGAACCCUUAAUUAUAUCUCUAAUUUGAAUUAUGGUAUAUAAAUGAUAAUUUCGUAUGCUUAAAUAUAAUAAAUAUAAACUUUAAACACUGAGGACAAUAAGGUUUCGUAUCUGGUAUAGGUAGGUAAAAUCACUUUAUUAAAAUCGGCUCAGAUUUGGCUUAUUGUAAGGCCAACUCUUUAAUUUGUUUUCUUUUGUUUUUCACUUCUCUUUUUUCUUUCUUUAUUUAUUUUUCCCUCUGUAUGUAUAUCUCAUAUUUUGCAUUUAUGUUUUUCGUUUCUUUUUUUUUUUUUUACUUUAUGCUAAUUUUAUAAAAAUGAUAAAAUAAAACUCACAACCAAAUUAACACCAAUAAAAUAGAUUUUCUAAUUAAUCUCUAAUAAAAUGCAAAAAAUACCAUUUUUUUAAAUUUUCUUCCCAUUUUGUUCUAAACUAAAUUAACUAAUCCUAAAAUAUGAAAUCAGAUUCUAAAUGCAAAUGUAUUUUUUCAUUUUUCAUACGAAUUAAAAUGCACAAAUAAAAUGCAUAUUAUUAUCAACAAAUGACACUAAAAUUAUAAAAAAUAAAGAAAAAUUAUUUUAUUUCAAUUUUUGGAAAUAAUUUAUAUAUAGAGCAAAAAUCACGUGCUUACAUAUGGGUCUGAAGCAUAAUAAUCAUUUCCAGUAUGACACUUUUCUUACGCUUGAAUACUUCCUUGUCAUUUGAGAAGACGUUUUAGAGAACAAGUGUCUGCAAUCUCAUUAAAAAUUAGGUAUUUAUUUGAACUGUGUUUGUUCUUAAAAACUAGCGUUGGUGCAUAAACUUUGUAUCGUCAAUUAAACUCUGCCUUUUGUCACUGGAUGAGUAUUUUGCGCAGCUAACCCGUGCGGCACUUAGACAACUUUGCCAAAGGUUGCUAAGU